RNAcentral lists this ribosomal RNA (468 nucleotides) under uncultured bacterium. RNAcentral describes it as "partial 16S ribosomal RNA". It matches the Rfam family "Bacterial small subunit ribosomal RNA", at positions 28 to 507 of the family's 1533-position model. The record is from RNAcentral.
GACGAACGCUGGCGGCGUGCUUAACACAUGCAAGUCGAAUGGAAAGGCCCUGCUUUUGUGGGGUGCUCGAGUGGCGAACGGGUGAGUAACACGUGAGUAACCUGCCCUUGACUUUGGGAUAACUUCAGGAAACUGGGGCUAAUACCGGAUAGGAGCUCCUGCUGCAUGGUGGGGGUUGGAAAGUUUCGGCGGUUGGGGAUGGACUCGCGGCUUAUCAGCUUGUUGGUGGGGUAGUGGCUUACCAAGGCUUUGACGGGUAGCCGGCCUGAGAGGGUGACCGGCCACAUUGGGACUGAGAUACGGCCCAGACUCCUACGGGAGGCAGCAGUGGGGAAUAUUGCACAAUGGGCGGAAGCCUGAUGCAGCAACGCCGCGUGCGGGAUGACGGCCUUCGGGUUGUAAACCGCUUUCGCCUGUGACGAAGCGUGAGUGACGGUAAUGGGUAAAGAAGCACCGGCUAAGUACGUG